Molecule: long non-coding RNA, 4307 nt
Filed under: Macaca mulatta (Rhesus monkey)
Lineage: Eukaryota; Metazoa; Chordata; Mammalia; Primates; Cercopithecidae
Description: lncRNA (ENSMMUG00000049170.2)
Source: RNAcentral
AUGCCUCCAAUGGUAGAGAUGAAAGUGAAAGAUGCCGCAAUAAAAUUGGGAUCUACAAUUUCAGUGGAAAUAAUAGACACCAAUGAUGGUAGAGGCUGGUUGGGUUAUAUUAACUACAAAAUCCUUGAUUUGGAAAAGUACCAAAUCCAGCUACAGGACCAAAAUUGUAGAAUGUUUCAACUUACAGGUAACUGUGGCAUUGCCUAAUUGCUCACAUUACUUUUCAGAAUAAAAUGUAUGAACAUCCUAUGAUGAUACUGCUUCAUCUUUUUUGAAUAAAUAGAUAUCCUAUGUGUACACACCUAUAUAUCCUAUAUAUCUUAUACAUGCAUUGAACGUGUGUGUGUGAGAUUAGAUAGAUAUAUAGACAGACAGAUAGAUAGAUGAUAGAUGGAUAGAGAAAUAGAGAGAUAGACUAGAUAGUAGAUAGGUAGAUAGACAGAUAGAUGAUAGAUAAAUGGAUAGAUAGAUAGAUAGCUACAUGAAUACACAUAUACAUAGAUAGAUGAUUAUGUUGCCUAUAGACACCUUGUGACAUUCAUCUUAUAACUCAGGAAUUUCACAUUUUCUUCCUUUGUCUGUCGUAGAUGCCAAAGUUAAAUAAACCUUUAACAAAAUAUAGUAAGAGAAUCUCAGCAUUUUGGAGCAAAACUCUCACCCAUUUUCCUGAAAUAUCUUCUCCAUUAGAAAAACAGUCUCUGAUUUACUCUUGAGUUCUGGUGGAUAUUUACUAUUAAUAUUUGUCCAUGGGCACCAAGAACCUAUCCUACCUGAGAUGGCUGUUCUGUUGUGAGAACAACAAAAAUAUAACUGAACAUUAACAGCAGUAUUCUACUCUUAAUGGACAUACAAAUAUAAGAAAAGGACUGAGAAAAUUUCAGAAAAACAAUUAAAUCACUUUAGCAAAUGGAUAAGGCUCUCAUGGAACUGAACAAUGUUUUUAAACCAAUCUCAAUAAGCCUGCCUAGAACAAAAUACAGGGUUACAGUCCCACUCAGGAGUGUCUCUUAAAAAAUCUUUAAGCAAAAUCCUUCUAAUGGGCAGAAUAUCAAGCAGGACAUCUAAAUAACUGUACUUUUUGGGAGGGGGAGGAGCAGAGAAUGGCCUGUGUUACAGCUCUACAGAAUCACAGGUAGUACCUAAUGAACUGACUAGUUUUUAAGGAUAUGGAAAUAAUCUCAGUGAAAAGUUAAUGGAAAGAAUAUUUGAGGUAGACCUAUGUGGGUUUACCUUUUGUAAUUGGCAGAAAUCACUUAGAAGGCAUGCACUCUAGGAACUGCCUCGGCAAUAAAGUGGAUUGAAUAAGUAGUCCUAUGGAACUCAGUCUUUUCCUUCAGACCUCCAGAACUUGAUCGUAAAGUUUAUUUUUAAAAAGGAGCAAUGCUGUCUGAGACAGAGACUAUAUAUAAGUUUAUGACGUGGACUUUAUCCCACCAAGGCUGAUCUGGCUACUACAGCUGCUACACGCUCAAAAUGUUAAUAGCAGAUGUCAACCUGAACCCUCCUCAGCAUGGCAUCAUUCCCUAAGAUUCUAGCCAGACACAGGUACAUCACGUACAUCACCUUUCAUCAUACAGCAUGCAUUCUUUAUUUCAUAGUACAUAUGCUUAAAAAAAACACACAGAAUUUUCCACAUCUUCUCUUUGUUAUUUCUGGUGGCAUCAAAAUCUGUGAACAUGAAGGACCCAUAAUCAAAUUAUGAUAUUAAUCUCAACAUUGAGUAUGAAUAGGAAAUAUAUUCACAGCGAAGGAAAUGCAACACAUUCUAAUGUCUGUGAAAUGUGCUGAUUUUAUAAAAUUCCCCAUUAUCUAAUGAAGAUCCUGAAGUUCUUACCUACGAGAAAAAAUUGAUUUUGUGGUCUUAAAAAUGCAGUAUGUGUUUUAAAUUAGAAUCUGAUAGCUGACAUUUUCCAUAUUUUAGUUUAAGUACAUGGGUGUAGAAUUCAAGAAAUUUAAAAAGGGAAUGGAUUCUCUCAAAAGUAUGCACUAAUAUUUUUGAAAGACUACUUUUUUUUUAUUAUUGUAACCUAGAGGCAAUUUGAAGGUUGUCAAUCACAACAGAGGAAUAUGGGAUCCAAAUAUGGGAAUAUAGAAUUCGUAUUACCUAGGGAUUUGGCCACAGUUUACUUAGAUUGGAAGCUGAGAGCGCUGCUUGAUUAUUCUGAACUAUUGUGUUUUGGAUUUUGGCCAGAGAAAGUAUUACUCUCCUGGCUGUGGUUAUUGAUCCAAAAUACCAAAGAUAAACUAGGAUGCUAAAAUAUGUUGAGUAUAGUCUAAAUUAUAUCUAAUAUCUGCAUUUUACAAUAACAUAUCUUAAUACCUUGGUAUUCAGUAAUAAAAAUCAGUGAAAAGUAAUGGCAAAUCAUUAAGACAAAACAUAUUAUUACAUUGAUUUGAAAAUGAUGAAAUUCGGGAUAAUUCUACCAGCUAAAGAACUUUGACCAGAGGAAGUGCUGCCAGAGAAUAAGGGACACAUGCAAUAUUUACAAACAAAAUAAGUUAAACAACCAACUUCAGUCUCCUGGUUAACUCUAAGGGAUGAUCUUAUAAGAGCUGUGCAAAAGCACUCUCGCUGAUGUGACCUGGUGUCUGCUUUGUGAGGGAUGAGAUUUUCCACAUUUGACUCAUCUGAAUAGUUUUGUUAACAGCUGUCAGGGAAAGUUGAUUCUCUCUCUCUCUCUCUCUCUCUCUCUCUCUCUCUCUCUCUCUCUCUGUGUGUGUGUGUGUGUGUGUAUCCACGUAUAUCCUGCAGUUACACUGACUAAUACAGUUUGCAUUGCCCAGAAACUUUUGCCAGCUGGUCUUCUAAUGAUAUUCAGAUAAGGAGAGAUAACUGCAGAACAUCAAAGAGAAGGAGGAGAGAAAGCAGCUCCUAUCUUACCUGAUCUUUCUCUACCUUGGCCUCACCUUGUUUUCAGUGGCUGUGUCUCUCUGCAACCCCAUCUCUUACCAUGCUAUCUUGUUUGCACAGUUCCAUUUCUUAAGGAACUCUAAAAUGUCACUUCUUUUACUUUUCCUUUCCAACCUAGGGUUAAUGGAGAGUUUCUUCUCUUGAUAAGUCAUAGUUCCUAGUUUAUUUUCUUAGCUCUGUCAACAUUACUGGGAAUAGUAACACCCUAAAGCUGAAUUAUUAUGGGGAUACACCUGUGAAUAAAAUAAAACUCCUAAGCUUUCAAGCAAAACAAAACAAACUCACCAGAAAGGAGACCCCAGGCAGAUUCAGUGGUUUUGGCAAGGCAGGAAAUUAGUCACACCUCAUUGCUCCCCUUCCCUAUAACUGUCACAGGACUUUAUGUUCUAAUAAUUCAACAGACACCAGUUCCUGAAAAAAAAAAAAUGAUUGAAAGAUUUUUCCACCAAUGCGGACAGACUGUCUAACGUCAUGACUAGACCUUCCCUUACUGUGGCUUCUCUAGGACAGCUGACUGGACUUACAAAACAUUCUUUCCUAAGCAAUAAAGACUGACCACAGACUGGUUCUGACCAGCCCACGAUGACUGUGCACAAGGUGCUUUUAUGCCCUCUGAUUGACUUUUUGAUGUAAAGACACAAGUUUCAGUUCAUGUUAAUGUUAAGUUCCCGUGCCAAAGUAGGCAUGGGAUGAACAUACAUAUUUGUUUGCCAUGCAUGUGUUUGGUCUUCUUCAUUAAUAUUCCUAGGAUUAUCAUAUAUCCUACUGAAUAUGUAUGCAUAACUGGUUGGGUCCUCUUAGGCAUAAAGCCCAGCCUCUAUUUUUUAUCUCUGAAUCAUAUGCUUUUGGUAUUACCUGGAGACUCUGUUUCCUAACCUGCAGAUUGUAACCCUUUGUAACAAAUAAUUCUCUCCUUUUUCUUCUUCCACGUAUCUCAUGGUGUUUGGUUAACACACUUCCCUGAAGUUCCUAAGCACCUAUCUAGCUCCUAAGCUGACAAUUUCAAUACAAUCCAGUAAACUGUUAUUAUCCCUGCAUAUAUUUUAAAAAGUCAAUUGACUGGAAUAAUUGAGAGGGGAAAAGAGACAACCAAGUCUGACUCUUUAGGAUUGAAUUUAAGCCAAGUGUUGAGAGUAUUACUAUUUGGAAAUGAACAUAUUAUUCCCUUUGUCCAAAAAUCAUGGUACAAGGGCUUUGAAAAGAUAGUUUUAUGUAGACUAUUUCCACUAAAAAUACAUGCUGCACAGAAUUCCAUUUGAGUUUGCCUUCUCCCCUUCUUCUCAAAUGCCAGGCUUCAAAAAUAAAUGCAGUAUUAUACCUAUCUUUCAAGUUUGGACACUAAAUAAAAUAAUUGUCUCAGAUAGCCCAGAAACAAGCUUAAGGCACUUAUUCAAAU